This 433-nucleotide ribosomal RNA is filed under the name uncultured bacterium. RNAcentral's name for it is "partial 16S ribosomal RNA". It matches the Rfam family "Bacterial small subunit ribosomal RNA", at positions 28 to 507 of the family's 1533-position model. The record is from RNAcentral.
AACGAACGCUGGCGGCAGGCCUAACACAUGCAAGUCGAGCGAGGACUUCGGUCCUAGCGGCGGACGUGGGGGGAACGCGGGGGGACGUGCCCUUUGGUUCGGAAUAGCCCUCGGAAAGUGGGCGUAAUACCAGAUGAGCUCAUAGGGGGAAAGAUCUAUCGGGGCAGGAUCGGCCCUUGUUGGAUUCGGUGGUUGGUGGGGGAAUGGCCUACCAUUCCCACGUUCCUUGGCUGGUUGGGGAGGAUGGUCAGGCGCGCUUGGGAUGCGACACGGACCAGACUCCUACGGGACGGAGCAGUGGGGUAUCUUAGGCGAUGGGGGCAACUCUGAUCUCGCCACGCGGCGUGUGCGAUGCAUGCCUUAGUGUUGUAAAGCUCUUUGUGCUGAGAAGAUAGUGACGGUACCGGGAGAAGAAGCCCCGGCUAACUACGUG